Molecule: small RNA, 125 nt
Filed under: Marmota monax (woodchuck)
Lineage: Eukaryota; Metazoa; Chordata; Mammalia; Rodentia; Sciuridae
Source: RNAcentral
GCCAGGUGUGAUGGCGCACUCCUGUAACCCCAGUGGCUUGGGAGGCUGAGGCAGGAGGAUCUCGAGUUCAAAGCCAGUCUCGGCAAGGACGAGGUCCUAAGCAACUCAGAGAGAUCCUGUCUCUA